UACGUAGGGGCCAGCGUUGCUCGGAAUUACUGGGCGUAAAGGGUUCGUAGGCGGUGCGGCAAGUUGGGAGUGAAAUCUCUGGGCUUAACUCAGGGCUGCUUUCAAAACUGCCGCGCUCGAGUGCGAGAGAGGUCAGUGGAAUUGCAGGUGUAGCGGUGAAAUGCGUAGAUAUCUGCAGGAACACCCGUGGCGAAGGCGGCUGACUGGAUCGCAACUGACGCUGAGGAACGAAAGCUAGGGAGCAAACAGG
This 250-nucleotide ribosomal RNA is filed under the name uncultured bacterium. RNAcentral describes it as "partial 16S ribosomal RNA". It matches the Rfam family "Bacterial small subunit ribosomal RNA", at positions 524 to 776 of the family's 1533-position model. The record is from RNAcentral.